RNAcentral lists this ribosomal RNA (439 nucleotides) under uncultured bacterium. RNAcentral describes it as "partial 16S ribosomal RNA". It matches the Rfam family "Bacterial small subunit ribosomal RNA", at positions 339 to 795 of the family's 1533-position model. The record is from RNAcentral.
CUACGGGACGCUGCAGUGAGGAAUAUUGCACAAUGGGGGGAACCCUGAUGCAGCAACGCCGCGUGGAGGAUGACGCAUUUCGGUGUGUAAACUCCUUUUAUAUGUCAAGAAAAUGACGGUAGCAUAUGAAUAAGCACCGGCUAACUCCGUGCCAGCAGUCGCGGUAAUACGGAGGGUGCAAGCGUUACUCGGAAUCACUGGGCGUAAAGGACGCGUAGGCGGGUUGGAAAGUCAGGUGUGAAAUCCUACAGCUUAACUGUAGAACUGCACUUGAAACUUCUAAUCUAGAGUAUGGGAGGGGAAGAUGGAAUUAGUGGUGUAGGGGUAAAAUCCGUAGAUAUCACUAGGAAUACCUAAAGCGAAGGCGAUCUCCUGGAACAUUACUGACGCUAAGGCGUGAAAGCGUGGGGAGCAAACAGGAUUAGAUACCCUUGUAGUC